GCAAUGGGGGUUUCGCCAAUACUCUUUCCUAUUUGAGGGGCGCCGAUUUCGGUUAUGCUAUGUUGGUUGGUAAAGCUCUCCCAGCAAGCAUUCGUAGCUGGGUUGAGAGGGAAGACCAGCCACACUGGAUUGAGAACCGUCCAGACUCUUACCGGAGGCAGCAGUGGGGAUUUUGAUCAAUGGGGAAACCAUGAUCCAGCCAUCCUGCGUUGGUGGAUGAGGCCUUCGGGUUGUUAAGCACUUUUGCAGGGAGGAAAUAACAGGAGCUAAUAACUUCUGUUGAUGACGGUACCUGCAAGAAUAAGCACCGGCUAACUACGUGGCCAGCAGCCGCGGUAAUACGUAGGGUGCAAGCGUUAUCGGAAUUACUGGGCGUAAAGGGUACGCAGGCGGCUAGGGAAGAAAGAUGUGAAAUCCCAGGGCUCAACCUUGGAACUGCAUUUUUAACUACCUAGCUUAGAGUAUGUCAGAGGGGGGUAGAAUUUCCACGUGUAGCAGUGAAAUGCGUAGAGAUGUGGAGGAAUACCGAUGGCGAAGGCAGCCCCCUGGGAUAAUACUGACGCUCAGGUACGAAAGCGUGGGGAGCAAAACAGGAUUAGAUACCCUGGUAGUCCACGCCCUAAACGAUGUCAACUAGCUGUUGGGGCCGUUAGGCCUUAGUAGCGCAGCUAACGCGUGAAGUUGACCGCCUGGGGAGUACGGUCGCAAGAUUAAAACUCAAAGGAAUUGACGGGGACCCGCACAAGCGGUGGAUGAUGUGGAUUAAUUCGAUGCAACGCGAAAAACCUUACCUACCCUUGACAUGUCUGGAAUUCUGAAGAGAUUUAGAAGUGCCCGCAAGGGAACCGGAACACAGGUGCUGCAUGGCUGUCGUCAGCUCGUGUCGUGAGAUGUUGGGUUAAGUCCCGCAACGAGCGCAACCCUUGUCAUUAGUUGCUACGCAAGAGCACUCUAGUGAGACUGCCGGUGACAAACCGGAGGAAGGUGGGGAUGACGUCAAGUCCUCAUGGCCCUUAUGCGUAGGGCUUCACACGUCAUACAAUGGUCGGGACAGAGGGUCGCCAACCCGCGAGGGGGAGCUAAUCUCAUAAACCCGAUCGUAGUCCGGAUGCAGUCUGCAACUCGACUGCGUGAAGUCGGAAUCGCUAGUUAAUCGCGGAAUCCAGAUAUAAA
This 1173-nucleotide ribosomal RNA is filed under the name Alcaligenes faecalis. Its description in RNAcentral is "bacterial SSU rRNA". It matches the Rfam family "Bacterial small subunit ribosomal RNA", at positions 201 to 1356 of the family's 1533-position model. Lineage: Bacteria; Pseudomonadati; Pseudomonadota; Betaproteobacteria; Burkholderiales; Alcaligenaceae. The record is from RNAcentral.